GGCUGUAUUGCCUAGUGGAGAGAGUACUGGACUGGGACUCUGGAGAUCUGGUUCGAGUCCAAGUUCUGCCA
This 71-nucleotide transfer RNA is filed under the name Chelonia mydas (Green sea turtle). It matches the Rfam family "tRNA". From Rfam's summary of the family: Transfer RNA (tRNA) molecules are approximately 80 nucleotides in length. Their secondary structure includes four short double-helical elements and three loops (D, anti-codon, and T loops). Further hydrogen bonds mediate the characteristic L-shaped molecular structure. tRNAs have two regions of fundamental functional importance: the anti-codon, which is responsible for specific mRNA codon recognition, and the 3' end, to which the tRNAs corresponding amino acid is attached (by aminoacyl-tRNA synthetases). tRNAs cope with the degeneracy of the genetic code in two manners: having more than one tRNA (with a specific anti-codon) for a particular amino acid; and 'wobble' base-pairing, i.e. permitting non-standard base-pairing at the 3rd anti-codon position. The record is from Rfam by way of RNAcentral. Lineage: Eukaryota; Metazoa; Chordata; Testudines; Cheloniidae.